This 420-nucleotide ribosomal RNA is filed under the name uncultured bacterium. RNAcentral's name for it is "bacterial SSU rRNA". It matches the Rfam family "Bacterial small subunit ribosomal RNA", at positions 28 to 496 of the family's 1533-position model. The record is from RNAcentral.
GAUGAACGCUGGCGGUCUGCUUAACACAUGCAAGUCGAACGAACUCUUCGGAGUGAGUGGCGGACGGGUGAGUAACGCGUGAGAAUCUGCCUGUGGGUCGGGGACAACCACUGGAAACGGUGGCUAAUACCGGAUGAGCCGAAAGGUAAAAGAUUUAUUGCCCACAGAUGAGCUCGCGUCUGAUUAGCUAGUUGGUAAGGUAAAAGCGUACCAAGGCGACGAUCAGUAGCUGGUCUGAGAGGAUGAGCAGCCACACUGGGACUGAGACACGGCCCAGACUCCUACGGGAGGCAGCAGUGGGAAUAUUGCACAAUGGGGGAAACCCUGAUGCAGCGACGCCGCGUGAAGGAAGAAGGUUUUCGGAUCGUAAACUUCUAUCAGCAGGGAAGAUAGUGACAGUACCUGACUAAGAAGCCCCGG